Molecule: long non-coding RNA, 343 nt
Filed under: Salvia miltiorrhiza (redroot sage)
Lineage: Eukaryota; Viridiplantae; Streptophyta; Magnoliopsida; Lamiales; Lamiaceae
Description: long non-coding RNA (SMIL_LNC006480)
Source: RNAcentral
GCGACGAAAGUGUCAGAGAGCAUCUUGGAAGAGAAAUCAACUUCAACGGGCUUGAGCAUUUUGUGCGAUUUCCAGCAAUUCUUAACGAGGGCAGAUCUUUGGUGCUUUAGGAGGAUCGAACUCAUCCAUGUUGAAUUUGUUUCCUCAGGUUCUUCUUCAUCCUGGUGUUGCUUCGUAUUUUUUAUUUUUCUCAUGUUUCUCACAAUCCAUCGGAAACCCUCUAGGAGACUAUUUCUGGUGUUGGAUCCCUCGGUUUCCUCAAGAACAAUCAAUAGGUGAGUUUUUUUCCUGUACUUUGUUCAUGGAACCUUUCAAAUCUGUUGUGAGCCGAGGAGAAAAGGAG